RNAcentral lists this ribosomal RNA (253 nucleotides) under uncultured bacterium. RNAcentral describes it as "partial 16S ribosomal RNA". It matches the Rfam family "Bacterial small subunit ribosomal RNA", at positions 524 to 776 of the family's 1533-position model. The record is from RNAcentral.
GACGGAGGGUGCAAGCGUUAUUCGGAAUCAUUGGGCGUAAAGAGCGUGUAGGCGGCCGGUUAAGUCAGGUGUGAGAGCCCGGGGCUCAACUCCGGAAGUGCACUUGAUACUGGUCGGCUUGAGUUCGGGAGAGGGAAGCGGAAUUCCUGGUGUAGAGGUGAAAUUCGUAGAUAUCAGGAGGAACACCGGUGGCGAAGGCGGCUUCCUGGACCGAAACUGACGCUGAGACGCGAAAGCGUGGGGAGCAAACAGG